RNAcentral lists this ribosomal RNA (460 nucleotides) under uncultured bacterium. RNAcentral's name for it is "partial 16S ribosomal RNA". It matches the Rfam family "Bacterial small subunit ribosomal RNA", at positions 338 to 795 of the family's 1533-position model. The record is from RNAcentral.
CCUACGGGAGGCAGCAGUGAGGAAUAUUGGUCAAUGGGCGCUAGCCUGAACCAGCCAAGUAGCGUGAAGGAUGACUGCCCUAUGGGUUGUAAACUUCUUUUAUAUGGGAAUACAGUGAUGUAUAUAUACUGCUUUGCAUGUACCUUAUGAAUAAGGAUCGGCUAACUCCGUGCCAGCAGCCGCGGUAAUACGGAGGAUCCGAGCGUUAUCCGGAUUUAUUGGGUUUAAAGGGAGCGUAGGUGGGUUGUUAAGUCAGUUGUGAAAGUUUGCGGCUCAACCGUAAAAUUGCAGUUGAUACUGGCAGCCUUGAGUACAGUAGAGGUAGGCGGAAUUCGUGGUGUAGCGGUGAAAUGCUUAGAUAUCACGAAGAACUCCGAUUGCGAAGGCAGCCUGCUGGACUGUAACUGACGCUGAGGCUCGAAAGUGUGGGUAUCAAACAGGAUUAGAUACCCGUGUAGUC